Non-coding RNA from Podarcis lilfordi (Lilford's wall lizard), 75 nucleotides. The record is from the annotation of a GenBank genome assembly. Lineage: Eukaryota; Metazoa; Chordata; Lepidosauria; Squamata; Lacertidae.
GUAGAGGAUAGCUCAGUUAGUAGAGCAUUAGAUUCUUGAUCUCAGCACCGUGGAUUCGAAGCCCGGAUGCCUACA